RNAcentral lists this ribosomal RNA (253 nucleotides) under uncultured bacterium. RNAcentral's name for it is "partial 16S ribosomal RNA". It matches the Rfam family "Bacterial small subunit ribosomal RNA", at positions 524 to 776 of the family's 1533-position model. The record is from RNAcentral.
UACGGAGGGGGCUAGCGUUAUUCGGAAUUACUGGGCGUAAAGCGCACGUAGGCGGACUGGAAAGUCAGGGGUGAACUCCCGGGGCUCAACCCCGGAACUGCCUUUGAAACUCCCAGUCUUGAGGUCGAGAGAGGUGAGUGGAAUUCCGAGUGUAGAGGUGAAAUUCGUAGAUAUUCGGAGGAACACCAGUGGCGAAGGCGGCUCACUGGCUCGAUACUGACGCUGAGGUGCGAAAGCGUGGGGAGCAAACAGG